Molecule: long non-coding RNA, 1068 nt
Organism: Mus spicilegus (steppe mouse)
Lineage: Eukaryota; Metazoa; Chordata; Mammalia; Rodentia; Muridae
Source: Ensembl
CACAUGUUCCUAGCCGGACUCUCCUUCUCCCCUCUUCUCCCUCCCCUUCCCCUCCCUCUCUACUCCUUCCCAUGCCCUAAAUAUGGCUGGUCCCUCAGGGGGAAGGGAUGCCUCAGCAUGGGCGACAGAGGCACCCCCUUCACCUCACAAUACCGCGCUCUGCCAAACAUAUCCUGGAUCUUUCUUUUUUAUGCUCCUUACUAGCUGAAGAAUUGUCGAGGAUUCAAGCCAACUUACUACAGCAUCUCCCCACUGACCAGAUCACCUCAGCUGUCCCCGAUCCUGUCUCUUCUUGGCCCCUGGCCCUGGCCCUGCCCCUGCUCUUCCAGGAAGUCUCUGCUCCAAGGGAAAGCAGAGUACAGAUAUGAAAGGCUCAUAGCAACCACCUCCAGCCUGGUCAAUCGCGGGCAUCUUCCUCCCCAACCCCGCAGUUUGGAAAAGUGUCCACUAGGUGGCGAUAGAACGAUGACAUCCGCAACUCCAUCAGUUAUGUUAGCAGAUGUUUGCAGGUCAGAGGCUCCGUACAAGGUCGGGAAGGACCAGCAGACAGAGCAGCGAGGCCCCUGUUCUCAAGGAGCUUGUGUUGUACUUGGAGAGGCAAACUGGAGGGAGACACAGAAAGAGAAAGAAAGUAGAUGAAGCAGGCACCCAGUGUGGUCAUGUUGCCUGACUGGAACUUUGCUUUGGGACCGGACAGGACUGAUUAUAAAAGCCACCAUUCCAGAGACUGGCUAAGCUGAUGAUUGUCCCUCGCCUGACCACUCGGAAUGUAGCUGGAGCCACAACUGCGUGGAGCGCAUAGGAAAGGCAGACUUCCCAUUCCUCAAAUGCGCUCAAUCAGAAUCUGCCUUUUAACAAGGCAUAUCUCAUACACGCGCAGAAGUUGGAGAAUACAGCGCGUUGGGGAUAAAUGACCCCUGUGGGCUAACUCUGGUCACCUGUAGAUUACUGCAGUAAAAGUGGAUCAUGCUCAGAAAAAAAAAAAAUCUAACAACCACUUUGGGAUACAUGAGAAAGAGAUGAUGUUGACAUUUCAGCAGUCACCAAAUAAAGUUUUAUUGGCACUCA